GACGAACGCUGGCGGCGUGCCUAAUACAUGCAAGUUGAGCGCUGAAGGUUGGUACUUGUACCAACUGGAUGAGCAGCGAACGGGUGAGUAACGCGUGGGUAAUCUGCCUUUGAGCGGGGGACAACUUCUGGAAACGAAUGCUAAUACCGCAUAAAAACUUUAAACACAAGGUUUAAGAUUGAAAGAUGCAAUUGCUUCACUCAAAGAUGAUCUCGCGUGGGAUUAGCUAGUUGGUGAGGUAAAGGCUCACCAAGGGGAUGAUACAUAGCCGACCUGAGAGGGUGGUCGGCCACAAUGGGACUGAGAAACGGCCCAAACUCCUACGGGAGGGAGCAGUAGGGAAUCUUUGGCAAUGGACGGAAGUCUGGCCGGGGAACGCCGCGGGAGGUAAGAAGGUUUUCCGGACGUUAAACUCUGUUGAUAGGGAAGAAAGUUGGUUGGAGUGAAAAGCGCAUGAAGUGACGGUAACUACCCAGAAAGGGACGGCUAACUACGUG
This 497-nucleotide ribosomal RNA is filed under the name uncultured bacterium. Its description in RNAcentral is "partial 16S ribosomal RNA". It matches the Rfam family "Bacterial small subunit ribosomal RNA", at positions 28 to 507 of the family's 1533-position model. The record is from RNAcentral.